RNAcentral lists this long non-coding RNA (287 nucleotides) under Fukomys damarensis (Damara mole-rat). RNAcentral's name for it is "lncRNA (ENSFDAG00000029392.1)". Lineage: Eukaryota; Metazoa; Chordata; Mammalia; Rodentia; Bathyergidae. The record is from RNAcentral.
GGAGGCUGCGGGCAGGAAGUGUGUGGCCAGCUCAUCUGUCAGCAUCCUUGGAGGAGAACUCCUCCUGGCCUGUUUGCAGCCGGCUCUGUACCUCCAGAGGGCCUGGCACCACAUCGCUGUGGAGAGGACCUAGGAAGCAGCAAGGGCCAGGCCCAGGGCCUGAGCUCUCGAGGAUGCCAUGGAGAAGGGACUGUGCCCUUCAUUCGUCCCUGACCCAGCUCAGCACUGGAAGGUGAGCCCUGCAAUGGGGACCUGAUUGGGGCAAGGAGUUGGGGAAGAGCUGGGCA